GCAGAUCCUUUUUACAGCUAAGGAAACUGAGGCACAAAGAGGUUGACAGCACACUUGCCCCAAAGCGCAGGUAUUUACAGCAUGCCCUCAGGCUACCCAGAACCGGUGUUUGCUAAAGAUGACAGUCCACUGGAAGACUCUCUUACUGUUGCUAAACCUUGUGCUGCAUAUUGUUGUCUAUACUGAGACCCAAACUCACUCUGGAUCCUGGAACUCAUUCACUGAAACUUCUUCCCUUUCCUCAUCCAAAUGAGUGUUUUGUUAGGAAACGU
Molecule: long non-coding RNA, 272 nt
Filed under: Homo sapiens (human)
Lineage: Eukaryota; Metazoa; Chordata; Mammalia; Primates; Hominidae
Description: PREDICTED lncRNA (TCONS_00029024)
Source: RNAcentral